RNAcentral lists this long non-coding RNA (3097 nucleotides) under Panax ginseng (ginseng). RNAcentral describes it as "long non-coding RNA (PGIN_LNC017028)". Lineage: Eukaryota; Viridiplantae; Streptophyta; Magnoliopsida; Apiales; Araliaceae. The record is from RNAcentral.
UCAAUUCUCCCACUCCAACCGCCCAAGUCCAGGUACAUCAUCAUCGAUCUCACUCAAAGACCUACUUGAUUUUUCAAUUUAUGGACUUUAAAUUGAUUUGAUGGGUUUAAUUGAUUUUAUUUUGUGGGUUUAGGUUUUGAAUAUCAAUUGCUUUCAGAGAAAACCAGAUGGAGAUGAUAAGGUAAAUUUCUUCAUUUCUUUAUGCUUUUAGUUUUUAUGUAGUCAAAAUUAAGCUUCUCUUUGGGCUGAGAUUUGUUUAUCUUUUUGUAUAUUUAUUUCUGAUUAGAGGUUAAUCCUUUGUUCAAUAAUUAGGGCAUUCUAGUUGAAAAAAAAAUUGGAUUUAGCGCCGAUGGUGGUGGCAGAGGCUGUGGGAGCGGGAGAUGAACUUGUGCUAUAUUUUUAAUUAGAGAUUUUAUUAGAGAUUUGUGGAUUGAAGUAUUGGGAGCAAUCUGUUCUUUUAUUGAUUAAUUUUAUGUGGCUUUGAUUGAAAAAUGAGAUUAUUCUAAUUUAAUUUUUUUUGGGAUAAUUUAAAUUAUUUCUAGAAUAUAAAAAGUUUUUUUGUGUUGGUGGCAGUAGCAUGGUAGCGGCAGUGGAAGGGUGGUAGUGGCCGUGCUAGUGGAAGAGAAGAUUGAAAGUGAAGAUGAGUUUGUUUAAUUUGUUUAAGAAUAAUAUAUUAAUAAAUUGUUAAUAUAUCAUAAUAUUUAUUUUUAAUAAUUAAUAAUUUUUUGCCUAACAUAUAUAAACAUUUAUGUAAAUAAAAAUUUAUUUUGAAAAGAUUUUUAAUUUUAAAAUAUUUUUAAUUUUUACUUUUUAUAAUUUCCUCAAUUAUAUUUGUUAGUAAUUAUAUAAAAAAAACAUUUGCUAUUAAUUACAAAAAUAACUACAGAACUCUUUUUAUUUUUUAAUUUCUACCAUGUAUUUUUUGCUAAAUUUUUUGAUUUUAUUAUAAUUUUCUUUCAUUUUUCCCUAAAUGUAUUUCAUAUCCCCCUUAAUUUUAAUUUUAAUUAGCAUAUUUUUAGUUUUUAUGUUUUAUAAAUGGCUUAAUUAUAAAUAAAAAUUUAUUUGAUAUUAAUUACAAAAAUAAUUAAAUAUAUUUUCUUAUUUUUUUUCCAGAUCCACAUAAUCACUGUCAUGUUGUAUAAUCACUGCCACAUCAUUUUUGUUUUACAACUCAGCAACUUAGCUGUCUUUUUCCGUUUAAAGUCAAAGCAUUUAACGGUUGUUUUAACUUUGUGUUAGAAAGGUGAGUACAAUUAGUUGACUGGAAGAAGAAAAAAAAUUUAUUUAUCUAUUUAUAAAUUGAUAUAUAAUACAGUGACCAAAAAUACACUUAACCCAUAAAACCCAUAACUGGGAGUCUGGGUUACCAAUAUGGUUCAGCCAUUACUGACUUGCGUGGUAAACGAAGUUGAUUUAAUUUCAAUAAUUCAUUUGGGUUCAAUAUUUUACAUUUUUACUCCUUAUAUUCUGUGGAAGUUUAUAAUGUAGGAUAUAUAAUAAAUUAGAGUGAAGUCAUACUUAAGUUUUACCAAUCUCAUACAUACACAUAGGUCUUAAUUAUAAUUUGAGGAUUCUUGUUUAUUUAUGAUAUUUAUAUGAUCCAAAGCCAAUAGUAGAUAAAAUAUUGGGUCAAUUCCAAUUACCCAAUACAAAGCAUGACAGGUAAAUCGGCAUGCAAUUUUUAAGCUGAUCCGUCAAAAAAGCCUGGUACUUUUUAGAUUUGGGUUGGAUUUAAUAUUGGACUGACGGGCUUUGGUCCCCCCAAUGACAUAUUGCCCAAAUAUUUACAAUCUCAAGCGUAUUUUUAUAGUCAUUAUCAGUAUUAUAUUAGCAGAAUUGUACAAAAUUUGUGUGUCUCAUUGUAGGGUAAAAUCAAAAGUUCAAAACUAAUCAUGUUACAACUACUAGAGCAUACAUACAAAUGGAGCAAUUUUACUAAAAUAAUAUCCUGUCUUGGUUCAAUAUAAGAAUGAUGUUUAACCCUAAAAACAACUAUGAUUUCGGAAUGAAAACUGAUAUUUCCACAACAGAAAAUGAUAUUUACACAUAAAAACAUAAAAAGUGUCGCAUUUUGCAUGUGAAAAUAUCAAAAAGUGUUGUGGAAAUAUCAAUUUCCUUUCGGAAAUUAUAUAAUAUACAAUCAGUACCUUCCGAUUUGUCUACAAUAAUUCUUUAUUUCUUUGCAUGCCAUUAACUCUAUCAAUUAAUGUUAACAGCAUCUGGUGGUUCAAUGCUUCAUAGUCUCUGCAUAAUUACAAGACAGUUUCUUUUAAGUAGUGUAUAACAUAAUCAUUUUUAGCAUCUAUUAUUCAUCAUAACUAUAAUAAAGUAGAGUUAAUCAUUUCUAUUUUUACCUGUAUGUAUAGAUGGCAUAUAGGAGCUGUGUUGUUGCAAACAGAAUGAACAGUAAUCUGACCAGACUUAUUAUCCAUGCCUGUUGUUCAAUGUCAUUUGAUACAUAUUUAGGUACGGCAAAUUCAAACAGAAAUGCAGCACAUAACCCUGCAGCAAAAAUAAAAAAUAAAAAUAAAAAUAAAUUCAAUGUUUCAAAAUAAAAAAAUUCUGAAUUUUAGGAAAUCAAAGGUGAUAAUGUACCUAUAUAGAGCCUAGGCCUCACAGGGUACGUUUGCUUUGUACUUGUGAACAUAUAGAUAAUAAAGAUUGAUAUGGAGUAGACAAUGAAAGCUUUGAUCCAUCGCGACUCCAGUAGAAUGGCAUUGUGCAGGGCAAAGAGCUUGUCUAUGGCUAGAAACAUGGUUGAUUGCUUUGAUUCAAAAUCAUCCUACAAAUAUAUAUACAGACAUUCGAAAGAGGUACAUAGAGUAAGUAACUGCUAACUUCUGAGCAUAUAUAAUGUCCCCGAAAGCUGCACUAACCUGAGAAGCUAAUAUUGUCUUUGAAUUUUGUAUCAGAUGACCAUGAGUUUGUUCAAGUUGUUGUUGCCGUCUAAGAAGCUCUUCUUGUUGCUUAUGACCAAUUUCAGCCAACUCUUCCAGGGUGCCCCUGUAAAAAAGAUAAAAUCAAAAUCGAUUUUGCCUUUUUUAGUUAUGAUUUGUGUCAUAACUUUGUUUAUACCUGCUUUCUUUAAGUGAUUGGG